GACGAACGCUGGCGGCGUGCCUAAUACAUGCAAGUAGAACGCUGAAGAGAGGAGCUUGCUCUUCUUGGAUGAGUUGCGAACGGGUGAGUAACGCGUAGGUAACCUGCCUUGUAGCGGGGGAUAACUAUUGGAAACGAUAGCUAAUACCGCAUAACAAUGGAUGACUCAUGUCAUUUAUUUGAAAGGGGCAAAUGCUCCACUACAAGAUGUACCUGCGUUGUAUUAGCUAGUAGGUGAGGUAACGGCUCACCUAGGCGACGAUACAUAGCCGACCUGAGAGGGUGAUCGGCCACACUGGGACUGAGUCACGGCCCAGACUCCUACGGGAGGCAGCAGUAGGGAAUCUUCGGCAAUGGGGGCAACCCUGACCGAGCAACGCCGCGUGAGUGAAGAAGGUUUUCGGAUCGUAAAGCUCUGUUGUAAGUCAAGAACGAGUGUGAGAGUGGAAAGUUCACACUGUGACGGUAGCUUACCAGAAAGGGACGGCUAACUACGUGCCAGCCGCCGCAGUAA
This 513-nucleotide ribosomal RNA is filed under the name uncultured bacterium. Its description in RNAcentral is "partial 16S ribosomal RNA". It matches the Rfam family "Bacterial small subunit ribosomal RNA", at positions 28 to 523 of the family's 1533-position model. The record is from RNAcentral.